RNAcentral lists this ribosomal RNA (273 nucleotides) under Triticum aestivum (bread wheat). RNAcentral's name for it is "partial small subunit ribosomal RNA". The record is from RNAcentral. Lineage: Eukaryota; Viridiplantae; Streptophyta; Magnoliopsida; Poales; Poaceae.
AUGGAUGAUUACAUCCAGAGGCUUCAAGGGUUGGGCUUGCUGGAUUCGAGGGGGAAUGCAAUCCGCGAGUUCAAUCUGACCAAUGACAGUGCCGCUCCGGCAGCAGCAGCGCGUCCGGUAUACCCGACGGUGGUAGAUGUCAAACUGAAGACGGAAUUGAAGAAGAUGAACAAGAACUUCAAGCAGCUGAUUGAGUUGAAGAAGCAAUCCAAUCUGAUAGCUUUAGGAAUACUUGAUCUAGGAAUUUUUUACUUGAUGGCCAUCUCUCAUUAG